AGUCACUGACAUUAGAUACCCCUGUAGUCCUAGGCGUAAAUGAUGCGAGUUAAGUGUGGGGGGCAUCUACGAGAUGGCCCUGUGCUGUAGGGUAGCCGUUAAACUCGCUGCCUGGGGAGUACGGUCGCAAGGCUGAAACUUAAAGGAAUUGGCGGGGGAGCACCGCAACGGGAGGAGCGUGCGGUUCAAUUGGAUUCAACGCCGGACAACUCACCAGGAGCGACGGUUACAUGAAGGCCAGGCUGAUGACCUUGCCUGAUUUUCCG
This 266-nucleotide ribosomal RNA is filed under the name uncultured archaeon. Its description in RNAcentral is "partial 16S ribosomal RNA". It matches the Rfam family "Archaeal small subunit ribosomal RNA", at positions 718 to 982 of the family's 1478-position model. The record is from RNAcentral.